RNAcentral lists this ribosomal RNA (228 nucleotides) under uncultured Leptospiraceae bacterium. RNAcentral describes it as "partial 16S ribosomal RNA". It matches the Rfam family "Bacterial small subunit ribosomal RNA", at positions 1154 to 1382 of the family's 1533-position model. Lineage: Bacteria; Pseudomonadati; Spirochaetota; Leptospiria; Leptospirales; Leptospiraceae. The record is from RNAcentral.
GGUGACAAACCGGAGGAAGUGGGGAUGACGUCAAAUCAUCACGGCCCUUACGUCCAGGGCUACACACGUGCUACAAUGGCCGGUACAAAGAGCUGCGAUGCCGCGAGGUGGAGCUAAUCUCAAAAAACCGGUCUCAGUUCGGAUUGCAGUCUGCAACUCGACUGCAUGAAGUUGGAAUCGCUAGUAAUCGUAGAUCAGCACGCUACGGUGAAUACGUUCCCGGGCCUU